GUUAAAUUGUAGACAUUUUAUAAAAACAAAAAAGACUUGUCGCCUUAUACAAACUAUUAUACGAACAGACUUUCCAAACAUUUUUCGAACAAAUAGAUGGGCGCAUGUUAAUUGUAAAUAUUAUUCUGUUGUACAGCAAGGUUUAUUUUGUGGAAAAUAAUAUAUACCUCUACGUGAUGCGCUUGAAAAUGGAGAUCAACUUAAAAAUGAAAAGGUAUGGCACAAGCUUCUGUAAUAAAAGAAAUAAAAGAAGCCAAACACUUUUCUGUCCGUGCUAAAUCAAUUAAUUCUUACCACACAGAUCAAGUAUCACUUGUACUAAGAUUUGUUGAUAAGAAACAUGACAUAAACGAGGAGAUUGUGGCGUUUGUAAAGUUGGAGCUUGUGAGAGCCAAAGAUAUUUUUACUAAAAUUAAACAAACUUUACAUGACCUUAUUUUGAAUAUUGAAUAUAUGAGGCCAAUGAUACAAUAGUGCAGCAUCAAUUACAGGUUCGUUAUCAGGUGUACAAGCUCAAUUUCUAAGCAUUCAACCAAAAGCAAAAUCCCCCGAUUGCGCGUGUUAUAGACUGAAUUUGGUUAUUAGUCAUUCUUGCAUAAUAACUUAAAUAAGAAAAUUGUUAGAUAUAAUGAAGGAGUUUACAAAAUGCGAAGAGAACUUCUUAACUUAAUGUACCAAAACAAAAACCAACUUCACUCAUUAAAUAGACCAAAAGUUCUUACUAA
Molecule: non-coding RNA, 725 nt
Organism: Hydra vulgaris (swiftwater hydra)
Lineage: Eukaryota; Metazoa; Cnidaria; Hydrozoa; Anthoathecata; Hydridae
Source: RefSeq, a predicted model, not a curated record